GCCGCGGGCAGGUGCGCGGCAGCGGGGCGCGGGUGCUCCAGGCCUCCUCGAUGCCCGGCCGCUGCUCGGCGACCGUCCCCGUCCCCAUCCCCGCAAGAGACUGACUUGUGUAGCUGCUUCGAGAGCGUCCGCUUCGGGGAUGACAUUUCAGGACGCGGGACAGCGACUGGCUCAGGGGAAGGACAGGGAGACAAUGUGCCGCAGGCCCAAGGCCAGGCUGGGGCGCGAUGUGGCUGCACCUGCCAACCCGAGGUCACAGCUGGCGGGCCCGGACACUGGGGGCCGUGGCUCACCUGUCACCUGCUCACCUGUCACCUGCCUGCCCACACUCCCGGAAGAGUCCCAGCGGCCCUGAAGGUGCUAGAAGCUUUGAAGGCCACGGGGCCUUAGCGGAGUGGCUGCAUGUGCUUCUCCCAGCCCCGGGGCCCCGACGACCCCCUCGUGUCCCGUGGAAGUCAUCGCAGAACCAAUCCUGAGAACCACAAAGAGCCCUUGGGGCUGAAAACUUCUUUUGAUCGAGUGAAUUACUGCUGCCUUGAAUUUGCUUUCUUUGCAAUAAAUGAAGGAAUGGAUUAGAUAUCCCAUCUUUUAAGUAGCCAUCAAAAAUCCUGGUAGGAUUCCCAUUUUUUUUUCUGAGCAUUAAGCCUUUAAAAUUGGAAAUGCUUAAGUGUUUAGGGGUUUUAGUCAUAUUUUUUUUCUUGGAAAAUAUCAAAAUGAAGUUGUCAGAGGUCCCUAAAAUCACUGCCUAGCAAAUAAUCCUCCAAGGCUGUCAGGGUCUAAGGGGGCUUUUAUUCAGCCUAGGGAGUUAUCUUGUUGACAAGGAGCUUACCAAACACUGAAUAGAAGAAAACCCAUUUAUGAGAAAUGGGCCAGUUGGUGCAUCAAAUCAGCGGUUAAUCUAAACCCGGCAGAGAAAC
This 917-nucleotide long non-coding RNA is filed under the name Canis lupus familiaris (dog). Its description in RNAcentral is "lncRNA (ENSCAFG00030013535.1)". Lineage: Eukaryota; Metazoa; Chordata; Mammalia; Carnivora; Canidae. The record is from RNAcentral.